GAUGUUGUUCAUUUAUUAGGAAUAACCUUGUGAAAUUAAGAAAACUCUCUUUCUGGAAAGUGUUUAAAAUGUUGCCAGGUAGCAUAGGGAGAAACUUAGUUCUCUAGAGAGGAUUUCUGUCCGCUCUCACAGAUAAUGAGAGAAAUCAUCGGGACAUCCUUUGGACUCUCCUUGCAAAAGAGAACCGGAAACUGAACACUUCUCACCUCCUCUCUGGCUCAUCCUUGAGCACCUCCAUUCUAUUCUCAACACUGAGGACAGAAAGAAGCUCUUUUAAGUUUCUGCUGUACAAGAUGAAUCAGCUAUAGUGAAAAGUGAAAGUCACUCUUCUUCAGCCCAACUCUUGAACUGAUCAACCCCAUGAACAACAAUACAAUUGGACAAGAGGAUGAAAGCAACUGAUUCCCAGGAGACAACACAAUGUGGAAACUGAAAUACCAAGAGAUGAAGCAAUUUGCCUGGUGAUUUGAAGUUAAUAAGGAGCAAAACUGGGUCUUGAACCCAAGCUAGCUUGAUACAGUCUGAAAAAUCUCUAGUUCACCUUUUCUUCAUGUCCUGCCACCACAACCUUAGUCAGACUCUCUUCACCUCUUGCUUAGAUUUUUAUAAUGAUCUUCCUGUAGAGUUCCCUGCUUCUAUGUUUAAUCACAGAGAACUUCUAAAUUUGCAAAGUUGAUAUACAAUUUUUUUCUGCUCAGAUUCCUUCAAUUACAUCACCUAUAACCAACUAUGAUCUGCUGUCCACCUGUCUAUUUAGAGUUUUUCCCAGCACUUUCUCCCUGCCUCUUUCUUUCUCUCCCUCAUUCUUUA
Non-coding RNA from Odocoileus virginianus texanus, 810 nucleotides. The record is from RefSeq and is a predicted model, not a curated record. Lineage: Eukaryota; Metazoa; Chordata; Mammalia; Artiodactyla; Cervidae.